This 497-nucleotide ribosomal RNA is filed under the name uncultured bacterium. Its description in RNAcentral is "partial 16S ribosomal RNA". It matches the Rfam family "Bacterial small subunit ribosomal RNA", at positions 28 to 507 of the family's 1533-position model. The record is from RNAcentral.
GAUGAACGCUGGCGGCGUGCCUAAUACAUGCAAGUCGAGCGAACAGACGAGGAGCUUGCUCCUCUGACGUUAGCGGCGGACGGGUGAGUAACACGUGGAUAACCUACCUAUAAGACUGGGAUAACUUCGGGAAACCGGAGCUAAUACCGGAUAAUAUAUUGAACCGCAUGGUUCAAUAGUGAAAGACGGUUUUGCUGUCACUUAUAGAUGGAUCCGCGCCGCAUUAGCUAGUUGGUAAGGUAACGGCUUACCAAGGCAACGAUGCGUAGCCGACCUGAGAGGGUGAUCGGCUACACUGGAACUGAGACACGGUCCAGACUCCUACGGGAGGCAGCAGUAGGGAAUCUUCCGCAAUGGGCGAAAGCCUGACGGAGCAACGCCGCGUGAGUGAUGAAGGUCUUCGGAUCGUAAAACUCUGUUAUUAGGGAAGAACAAAUGUGUAAGUAACUAUGCGCGUCUUGACGGUACCUAAUCAGAAAGCCACGGCUAACUACGUG